GGAUUAGAUACCCUGGUAGUCCACGCCGUAAACGAUGAGUGCUAGAUGUCGGGGAUUUAUUCUUCGGUUUCCAAGUUAACACGUUAAGCACUCCGCCUGGGGAGUACGAUCGCAAGAUUAAAACUCAAAGGAAUUGACGGGGGCUCGCACAAGCGGUGGAGCAUGCGGUUUAAUUCGAUGUUACCCGAAAAACCUUACCAACUUUUGACAUGGUAGUCGCGGACUCUGGAGACAGGUCCUUCAGUUCGGCUGGACUACACACAGGUGCUGCAUGGCUGUCGUCAGCUCGUGCUG
RNAcentral lists this ribosomal RNA (294 nucleotides) under uncultured bacterium. Its description in RNAcentral is "partial 16S ribosomal RNA". It matches the Rfam family "Bacterial small subunit ribosomal RNA", at positions 775 to 1067 of the family's 1533-position model. The record is from RNAcentral.